UGGCUCUGGCAUCGAUGAAGAACGCAGCGAAAUGCGAUAAGUAAUGUGAAUUGCAGAAUCCAGUGAAUCAUCGAAUCUUUGAACGCACAUUGCGCCCCGUGGUAUUCCGCGGGGCAUGCCUAUUCGAGCGUCAUUUCACCACUCGAGUCUGACUCGGUAUUGAGGGCCGCGAUCCGUCGCGCCCUUCCAAGUUUCCGGCUGGGUCGUCCGUCUCCCUGCGUUGUGGCAUCACGUUCUCGCUUGGAGUGCCGGAUGGCGUCGGCCGUUAAACACCCCCAUCAAAGGUUGACCUCGGAUCAGGUAGGGAUACCCGCUGA
Molecule: unclassified non-coding RNA, 317 nt
Filed under: uncultured fungus
Lineage: Eukaryota; Fungi
Description: partial contains 5.8S ribosomal RNA and internal transcribed spacer 2
Rfam family: 5.8S ribosomal RNA (bases 1-133)
Source: RNAcentral